AUACGGAGGGUGCAAGCGUUAAUCGGAAUUACUGGGCGUAAAGCGUACGUAGGCGGUCCGUUAAGUUAGAUGUGAAAGCCCCGGGCUUAACCUGGGAACUGCAUUUAAAACUGGCGAACUAGAGUUGAGUAGAGGGGAGUGGAAUUUCAGGUGUAGCGGUGAAAUGCGUAGAGAUCUGAAGGAACACCAGUGGCGAAGGCGACUCCCUGGACUCGAACUGACACUGAGGUACGAAAGCGUGGGUAGCAAACGGGAUUAGAAACCCCGGUAGUCC
This 274-nucleotide ribosomal RNA is filed under the name uncultured bacterium. RNAcentral's name for it is "partial 16S ribosomal RNA". It matches the Rfam family "Bacterial small subunit ribosomal RNA", at positions 523 to 796 of the family's 1533-position model. The record is from RNAcentral.